GAAGUCUCAGCUGUGACGCCCGGAACCCACAAACACCAUUUCUAUAGUUAACUACCACACUGUUCUUAACCCCCGGAAGGCGAAAUUAUCAAUCCUUUUAUGGCGAAUGCUUAGCUCAUGAAUAUUAACUGAGUAAAGGUUGAUCGACAACGUUCCAAAGGGAGCGUUAACGCAUGAUAUGUUCUUGCGUUACAUCGGGCGUUUUUGACAUGCAAGGCAGCAGAUCAAUGCCAGGUUUUUUUUUUUAAUUAUUAUUUAUUUAUUAAAUUUGUACUUAUUUAUUUAUUUAUUAUUAUUUUUUAUGAACAAUGCAGAUGAAUCUAGGGGCGGAAAAUCACAUAAUUAUUUACAUUUAUAAAAGGACAAGUGUACUGAGUGUUUGUAAUAGCAAGACUGUUAAAUGAUUGUAAUUGAAAAGGUGAGGUAUUCAAAUAAGCCCAUAAGUGUUUCUUACCUCUCCUGCAUAUAUCUUUACUAUUUUUGUAUGUUUUCUUUGUUUUUGUUUUUUUAUUGUUAAAACAAAUGCCAAGCAAAUAAAAAAAUCACUGCAUUCUGUCUAGCUGUUUGUAACGCAAAAACGUGUCCUGUGUGAACGGCCCCUAUGUAAUUAAUAUUCAUGAGUAUCCUUCGUCACACUGUUCACCAGCCAAUCAGGUAGUACUACUGAGGAAAUGCGGCGUAGGAGCUGAGCAAGUUUACCCAGAAUGAUCGAAAUUAUGUUUGUAACGGUGAAGAAUGUGUGAAAAUGGCUACAAACACUGCAGCAAAGAAUCCACAUUUCGACUGUCCGUCAUGGUAAAACUCCCUGCAUUCACCAUGUCGAUGACACGUCGCGUUAUUGUGCAUGACGGUGACAUUCGAAAAGUAAUCAUUCCUGAAAAACCAGCUGAUGUUGAUGCCUUGAAACGUGCUGCAAGAAAAGCUCCAGCUCACAUUACUCAUUCAGUGUCCAAUAUGAAGAUCCUAACUUUAAUCAUGCAUUAUGUAAUGUCAGUGACAUUAAUGAUUUGUCAGAGAGGGCAACCCUGAAAAUAAUUCCUCUACAGACAUCUCCCUCCUCCAGUCAAGCUGACACUGUACUUCUGAUACAUCAGAUCAGUUGUCUGCUGAAUGACAGUGUGAAUGGCCGGAGGAUUUUGAAAUACCCAAAUUCUCUGUUAAUGUUGAGUACUGUCUCUGUCAGGGAAACCUUGAUUUUAUGAAAGAUAGUACAAGUCUUAAUGUUGGAAGAGACAUAAAACAUGACAUAGUGGAAGCAUUUGCCGGGGCCAUGUACACCUUUAAGGCAUAUCCAAGAGAUGAAGACUUUGCCCAAGUUGCAGCAGCUUUAAUCAAAGCACAUCCCUGUUUGACUGAACAGGGCUCCCUGACAGGUUCAGCUGGCUGGAAAAACAGCCUGAAAUUUAAAAUGGCCAACUAUAGAACAAAACUGCAUAAAUGUGACUGUAGUGAUGUUACUGUUGAGGGAAAGAGAGGUGCAACGAUGGCAUUAAAAAACCAAGGCGAUUUGAAUUUAAUUUCUUGCCAAACUUUCCUAAUGGGGAAGAUGAAGAAAGUCAAGAAUGCGCAAGAAUACAACUUGUUGAAGAGGCCCCCAAACAUGAGCCUGAUUUGCCAGAAGAUGGACAGAACUUUUGUCUUGAAGGAAGGAAAUCAUCCACUCUGAACCUCCUGUUUUUGAGAUCUUGGAGAAGUGGCCAGCACUUUUCACAGAAAGCCAGGUCUUUGCAGAAUUCAGUCGCAUAUCUGGGAAAGAUCUGAGUUCUACGCAACGUUGGACACACACUCUGCAUGUUUGAUAGAAAUUUUUCGGAAAAAAGGAGGAAAUCAGGGAAGAACACUUGAUGAAAUUUUGCAUCAUGUUGACUCAAAGUCAUCUGAUGUAACAUAUGUUCGCACCGCAGUACUUCAGGGUCUUCCAGUCCUCCUGGGGGAUGACCCAGAGGAAUUUUUCAGGAUGAGCUUCGAUUCAGAUGUAGAUGCAGACUUCAGUGAAGUAGAUAUUGGACUGCUCACAGUUUUACGUGACGGCAUGCCUGCCAAACGUCCACAUGCCCUCAACAUGGACGCAAUGAGGGCAAUCAAUCUGGAGGGAAGAACUGUCAUGGAUGAUGUCCCAAAUUUGCCACAUGCUGUAUGUCUCCUCUUUGCUUUGAUCUAUGCUCUAAAUUUAGACUACCCAAAGACAAUGAGGAACACAUUUGAUUGUAUUCAGCAGGUAUUUCUGUCUUUGUGAGGAAAGAAUCUCAAACCCAAACUCCAAACCCUUAAAAAUCAGCUUUUAAGCUGAACUUGUUUCUGGCAUAUUUCGCUGUAAUUGCAGUUCAGUUUUAGAAUCUUUCCAAAGCCACAUGCAGGUCCAAAUUGUAAAAGCAUUUUUUUUACUUUUUUGGAGUUUGCAAGUGCCUGUUCUGCAAACGCUCUGUACCUUGUUUUAAGUCCAGAUAUAAUGUUGUCAUGCAGCUGCAAAUGAGUGCUGCAAGUGGUCUAAGUCUUAACAAAUGAUGUUUUAAAGGCAUAGUUUUAUUAUUGUAUUGUUCUUAAAGAGUUUAGCUGUUUAUUACACAAAUAAACAGUUGAGAAUUUCGAA
Long non-coding RNA from Myxocyprinus asiaticus (Chinese sucker), 2590 nucleotides. RefSeq lists it as uncharacterized. The transcript is spliced from 6 exons. The record is from RefSeq and is a predicted model, not a curated record. NCBI's taxonomy places the organism in Eukaryota, Metazoa, Chordata, Actinopteri, Cypriniformes, Catostomidae.